This 253-nucleotide ribosomal RNA is filed under the name uncultured bacterium. RNAcentral's name for it is "partial 16S ribosomal RNA". It matches the Rfam family "Bacterial small subunit ribosomal RNA", at positions 524 to 776 of the family's 1533-position model. The record is from RNAcentral.
UACGGGGGGGGCAAGCGUUGUUCGGAAUUAUUGGGCGUAAAGGGCGCGUAGGCGGUUUGUCAAGUUUCGGGUGAAAACCUCGUGCUCAACCCGAAGCCUGCACGGAAAACUGCCGGGCUUGAGUAUGGGAGAGGUGAGUGGAAUUUCCGGUGUAGCGGUGAAAUGCGUAGAUAUCGGACGGAACACCUGUGGCGAAAGCGGCUCACUGGACCAUAACUGACGCUGAGGCGCGAAAGCUAGGGGAGCAAACAGG